This 871-nucleotide small RNA is filed under the name Pongo abelii (Sumatran orangutan). Its description in RNAcentral is "retained intron". The record is from RNAcentral. Lineage: Eukaryota; Metazoa; Chordata; Mammalia; Primates; Hominidae.
CCACCUGCAUGUAGCUGCCUUACCUCAAAGCCAGAGAAGCUCGACACCGUCAAGUGAAAUUGGAGCCACCCCCCCAAGCAGCCCCCACCACAUCCUAACCUGGCAGACUGGGAGCUACAAUGAUAGCUGUUUCCUGGAUUCCUCCCUCUAUCCAGAACUAGCUGAUGUCCAGUGGUACGGGCAGGGAAAAGCCAAGCCCGGGACCCUCGUGUGAGCCAGCCCGGCCUAAUCUGACCGCCUCAACGCCAUUCUGAGAUCACCUCACUGCCUCUCAUUUGCCUUACCCAGACGCACCGUCACCCUGCACCAGCUUCGGCCCUCAGCACUUUUUUUCUCCUGUCUCCGCAUUCCCUCCCCCUUGAAAACCUGACUGAGGAGACAUUCUGGAAGGUUCCGGUCCCACUGUGUGUCCCCUGGCGCUCUUGCCCAUAGAGAGCCAGACACCAAUCCUCAAUGGCACCUUGGUGGCUUCCCUCUGCCAUGACAGCCCCUAGGCCAGGAACCAUCGGGGGGCCAGCCGGCAUCCAAUUCCUGCGGAUAAGUAGCCUUGGGAGAGAACGGGAAAGGGGACUUGAGUUACAGGGUGACCCAGAAAGACGAUUCAGCUGUGUCCAGCCUGCCGCCCAUACGUAGGCCAACCAAGCACUUCAUGAAGAGGAGGCCUCGUGGUAUAUUCAGUUUACACCUGAAAUAUUCCUUGAUGGGACAGCUUGUGGGAGUGGCUAUGGGGGAAGGGGAGGAUGAGAAAGGAAGCUCUCGACACCAGAAAUGCAUCAGAGGACCACAAUCAGUUCUAUGCUGCCAAAGAUUAAAAAUAAAUAACAUAAAAAAUUAAGAGGGGCCAAGAGGAAGACAUUCUUUCUGCAAGGAA